Molecule: ribosomal RNA, 314 nt
Filed under: Clostridioides difficile
Lineage: Bacteria; Bacillati; Bacillota; Clostridia; Peptostreptococcales; Peptostreptococcaceae
Description: bacterial LSU rRNA
Rfam family: Bacterial large subunit ribosomal RNA
Source: RNAcentral
GGCCAUCGCUCAACGGAUAAAAGCUACCCUGGGGAUAACAGGCUUAUCUCCCCCAAGAGUCCACAUCGACGGGGAGGUUUGGCACCUCGAUGUCGGCUCAUCACAUCCUGGGGCUGUAGUAGGUCCCAAGGGUUGGGCUGUUCGCCCAUUAACGUGGUACGCGAGCUGGGUUCAGAACGUCGUGAGCCAGUUCGGUCCCUAUCCGUCGCAGGCGUAGGAAAUUUGAGAAGACCUGUCCUUAGUACGAGAGGACCGGGAUGGACGUACCUCUGGUGUACCAGUUGUUCUGCCAAGGGCAUGGCUGGGUAGCUAUG